RNAcentral lists this long non-coding RNA (395 nucleotides) under Chloebia gouldiae (Gouldian finch). RNAcentral describes it as "Erythrura gouldiae (Gouldian finch) lncRNA (ENSEGOG00005011243.1)". Lineage: Eukaryota; Metazoa; Chordata; Aves; Passeriformes; Passeridae. The record is from RNAcentral.
UUGCCACCACACCAUUUCAGUGCUGUGCAACUCCUUGAUUUAUAAAACAAAAACAUUUUUUAGAUUGAAAAUUACUUUCUCUGCAUAGAAUCUUUCUGGGGUCGAAUUGGAUACCAACUAGCCAGAACACCUCCUGCACAUGCUCGUGACAGUGAUGACUCUUUUGGACCUCGCUUUGUGCCCAAAGGAGCUGCUGCACCUCCUGCUCCUGAUGAUAUUUUUCGGGUUAGCGUUGCACCCAAAGCUCCCCAUACACCUGCUACUCCUGUUCCUGCUCCUGCUGGUAAGUCUGCUUUUUAGGCAAUUACAGUCACUGGGAUGUGGGUCCCUAGCCAGCAUCUCCCUUCAUGCUGCACAGCUUCUGUAGGCAAAUACAGCAGCAAUUAAUUAAAAAC